Molecule: ribosomal RNA, 459 nt
Filed under: uncultured bacterium
Lineage: Bacteria
Description: bacterial SSU rRNA
Rfam family: Bacterial small subunit ribosomal RNA
Source: RNAcentral
GGGGAAUAUUGCACAAUGGGGGAAACCCUGAUGCAGCAACGCCGCGUGAGUGAAGAAGUAUUUCGGUAUGUAAAGCUCUAUCAGCAGGGAAGAUAAUGACGGUACCUGACUAAGAAGCUCCGGCUAAAUACGUGCCAGCAGCCGCGGUAAUACGUAUGGAGCAAGCGUUAUCCGGAUUUACUGGGUGUAAAGGGUGCGUAGGUGGCAGUGCAAGUCAGAUGUGAAAGGCCGGGGCUCAACCCCGGAGCUGCAUUUGAAACUGCAUAGCUAGAGUACAGGAGAGGCAGGCGGAAUUCCUAGUGUAGCGGUGAAAUGCGUAGAUAUUAGGAGGAACACCAGUGGCGAAGGCGGCCUGCUGGACUGUUACUGACACUGAGGCACGAAAGCGUGGGGAGCAAACAGGAUUAGAUACCCUGGUAGUCCCACGCCGUAAACGAUGAAUACUAGGUGUCGGGGCCG